UGUGCUUGUGGGAAUACUAAACUCAUGU
Molecule: non-coding RNA, 28 nt
Filed under: Homo sapiens (human)
Lineage: Eukaryota; Metazoa; Chordata; Mammalia; Primates; Hominidae
Source: RNAcentral